GCAUAAAUCGAGCUAUGGUAAGAAGAAAAUUUGUAUUCGAUACAAGAAAUCAAAAUUUUCAUAUGAAUGAUAGUUAAAAACAAAAGCUUUGAACUUGCUGUAAUCUGAUAUCCACUUUUCACAUGGGUAGUAUAUGCUAAAUCAAUAUCCAAUUAGGGGAUAUAGUUAUUUUAUAAUUUAACUAUCGAUGGAGUUUUUCAGUUAAUGACAACUAAGGUGAUAACAAAUCUGAAAAUAUGACUUCUAUAAGGAAAAUGAAAAUUGAAUGCUAAUCUAAAAUGCUAAAAAAUAUUCAUAGACGUCACCAGCAAAAAAGCAAUGCACGAAUAUAAGUGAAGGAAAGAGAUGAUGGGGAGGCUCUUGUGCCUAUUACACUUCUGCACGCUAUUCUUCAAAAAAUUAUUCCAAUAAAAUUAUGACUAUAGAACAUGAUGUUGUUAAAAAAUGAGUAGUUUCAAUACUGAUAUAGGUCUUGUUGGGUAUUUUGACCCAAAGACCACAAACAAAAGUAAAUCGAACCAAACACCAAAUGUAAAAUCGUAAACAACAUAGGAUAUUGUUGACCCAAUUUCACAAAGCCUAAACUAAGGGCUCAUAGAUAAGCCCGUCACUAUGCAAGAAACUUUCAAGAGAGUGUACAAUGGGAAAUUAAACCAAAUUAGAAUCAAAUUUGGUCAUUGAUUUAAGAAGAUCUCGUAAAUAACCAAUCCUAGUCAAGCUUGACUAGAACAAUCUUUUUUAUCAACCCAGUGCAUAUUUACCAGCCGAUAACUAGGCCUAAAACAUUGCACAUCAAGUCCUAAUAUUAGCUUUUUUUGUCUUUUUGACUUGUACUAUGGAAAAUUGUUUCUUUU
This 854-nucleotide long non-coding RNA is filed under the name Olea europaea (common olive). Its description in RNAcentral is "long non-coding RNA (OEUR_LNC010755)". Lineage: Eukaryota; Viridiplantae; Streptophyta; Magnoliopsida; Lamiales; Oleaceae. The record is from RNAcentral.